GAAGCGUUGUCCGGAUUUACUGGGCGUAAAGCGUGCGCAGGCGGUUUGAUAAGACAGGCGUGAAAUCCCCGGGCUCAACCUGGGAACUGCGUUUGUGACUGCAAGGCUAGAGUACGGCAGAGGGGGGUGGGAAUUCCACGUGUAGCAGUGAAAUGCGUAGAGAUGUGGAGGAACACCGAUGGCGAAGGCAGCCCCCUCGGGCCAAUACUGACGCUCAUGCACGAAAGCGUGGGGAGC
RNAcentral lists this ribosomal RNA (237 nucleotides) under uncultured bacterium. RNAcentral's name for it is "partial 16S ribosomal RNA". It matches the Rfam family "Bacterial small subunit ribosomal RNA", at positions 535 to 769 of the family's 1533-position model. The record is from RNAcentral.